UACCAGCUCUCCGAGUUGUAGGGAUGAUUAUUGGGCUUAAAGCGUCCGUAGCUGGCUUAGCAAGUCUCCUGUUAAAUUCAGCGACCUAAUCGUUGAGCCGCGGGAGAUACUACUAGGCUAGGAGGCGGGAGAGGUCGACGGUACUUUCGGGGUAGGGGUGAAAUCCUAUAAUCCCGGGAGGACCACCAGUGGCGAAGGCUGUUGACUAGAACGCGCUCGACGGUGAGGGACGAAAGCUGGGGGAGCGAACCGGAUUAGAUACCCGGGUAGUCCCAGCUGUAAACGAUGCGAGCUAGGUGCUGGGGUGGCUACGUGCCACUUCAGUGCCGCAGGGAAGCCAUUAAGCUCGCCGCCUGGGGAGUACGGCCGCAAGGCUAGAAACUUAAAGGAAUUGGCGGGGAGCACCACAAGGCGUGAAGCUUGCGGUUC
Molecule: ribosomal RNA, 429 nt
Filed under: uncultured archaeon
Lineage: Archaea
Description: bacterial SSU rRNA
Rfam family: Archaeal small subunit ribosomal RNA
Source: RNAcentral